Phacochoerus africanus (Common warthog) is the source of this 2100-nucleotide long non-coding RNA. RefSeq lists it as uncharacterized. The transcript has 2 exons. The record is from RefSeq and is a predicted model, not a curated record. Lineage: Eukaryota; Metazoa; Chordata; Mammalia; Artiodactyla; Suidae.
CCCCCCACUCGCCUCUCCGUACGGGUUCAGCAUGGCUGCCGCAGCCCGGGAACCCACACAGCGCAGGCGCAAGGGUGUAAGGUGCAGCUUGGGACGCCCUGGCCGGAGUCCAGCGGAAACGCGCGCUGCCCAGCUGUUGUCAGUGGAGGAGAAUGGCGCCUGGACCUGGAGUUUUAAGGGUUUGCAGGAUGGGGUGUAGUGUGGUUCCACGUCGGGAGACGGAGUUUUAUCAACCACCCUCGUCAUGCCUGCGGCGGGGAGAUGAGGCGCGGGAGGUUGAUGUGGGCAUUUUGUUUGACCUGUUUGUCUUAGGCUGCUUUAUAACUUCUCAUUUCACCCGAAUCUACGAAGACUUCGUUGAGACCUGCCAGUGCUUGGGCUCCUCUGCCUUCUGCAAAACCUAACACUUUUACUUUUUUUCUGGACUUGCCUCCACCGUUUAAAACUUCUGCUUUUUCUAAGGCUUUACCCUUUGCUCAGUCUUGAAACCCAUAAAAAUCUGAUCCAGUGAUGGUUGCCAGCUAAAGCAGAUCUUUUAUUGUUCAUAGGCAAUACUCCCUCCCUUGAUCCUCAGAAUGUGGUUCAGAUUUUUUACUUUUAAUUCAUAACGCCCACUCUCCACAAGCGGAACAUUACAGAAAGGCCAACUUGCAGAACUCUUGGCUUUCCGACUGGGACAUGUCUGUGUUCCUUUACCAUUGUACCAGAAGUCCCCUCCAGCUUAAGGAAAUUUUUCUUUUUUGUCCUGGUCACAUUUAGCUAUUAGUCUGAAGCUAUCCUCCAUUUUUCUCCCAAUUGGCAUUUUUAACUUCUUCCUUUUAUGGGUUUCCCAGCCUAAAAACAAGGAAAGAAAGGAAAUAACCUUAUCAAUAUUGCAUCCCCUUGUACACUCUUAUUUACCUCUCAGCUCUCCUGCACAGUCAAGACCUGAAACCAUCCCCUUUGUACUCUUUUUUACCUCUCAGCUCUCCUGCACAGUUAAGACCUGAAACGGUCUUAAUUUUCCUCUCUCAACCUCGUCCCCAUUCUUCAGCUCAUUUCUUCUACUACUGAAGCUGUCCUAGCAAAGGUCACCAAAGACCUCCUAAUUGGCAAAUCAGGAAGCACUUACCAGUUCUCAUCUUAUUUGACCUCUCUGAAGUAUUUGACAUUUGAUCAUGCUUCCUGAAAUUCUCUACAGCCUUGAUUUUUGUGACCAGUUUGUACUUAUUUCUUUUCUUGCUUGUCCAACUUUUCCUCUGGUCUCUUUUCGUGGACUCUUCUUUAGCCCCUGUGGAUUUUUGCCAGAAUUUUGCCUCACUUCUAGUUCUUUUCAUCUUCCCUGUAUAAUCUCACUCAAUGGGUCAAAGCUUCGCAAAUCUUUUUCUUUAGACAACUCUCCAGAGCUGAACUCACCACUAAAUUUUACUGCUUGGAUAACCCUCAGGAGUUCAAAAUUGAUACAAUAUGUAUACACUCUAGACCUGUUCCUUCUAUAUUAUCCUAGUUGAUGGCAGCUAUUCAGUUAUAAAGCCUAGAAUCUGGGAGCCAUUCCUGAUUUCUUUUUCUCACAACUUUACAUUCCCUAGACUUCACAUUUUGCCUGUAAUAUUGCCAUGGCUCACACUCUGUCCUAGUCUUACCACCAGAGCUCUAUCAAUAGCUUCCUGAUUCCACUAUCUCUAAAGUUGCACUGUCCAAUAUGGUAGCCACUAGCCACUUGUGGCUGUUUAAAUUAACAUUAAAUAUGGCUCUAAAUUUAGUUCCUUGGAUGCAUUGGCCACAUUUUAAGUUCUCAGUAGCUGCCUGUGGCUCAAGGCUGUCACACUGGACAGCACAAAUUAUAGAACAUUUCCAUCAUUGAAGAAAGUUCUGUUGGACAGUGUUGCUGUAGAUUUUCCUCUCUACCUCACCACAGUACCGCCAGGAACCAACUUUCCAAAAUACAACUCUGGCCAUAUGCUACUGUUUAAGCGCUGUAUUAAUUCCUCAUUGCCUGUUGUGAUCAAGUCCAAAUUCCUGUGCUUGGCAGAAAGGUCUGCCUACCUGUCCAGCCUCAUGUCUAGCCACUUCCUCUUGAGCCCUGUACUCCAGCUGUAUUAAAAUGUUCCCCAGAUGUAC